CAGGACCUCAGCUCUCCACACGGGUGUCUACUUUAUCCACUUUGACACUCUUCACCAAGAACCCCUGUCCUCUGUGUGAUGAAGCUAAAGAAGAGCUGGAACCCUUCAGACACAGAGUGAGACUCGUUUAUCUUACAGCUGGUGGACAUCAGUCUCCCAGAGAACAAAGUAUGGCUCGACAGGUACAGGUGGGACAUACCUGUCUUCCACCUGAAUGGACAGUUUGUCAUGAAACAUCGAGUGGACGUUGUCCUGCU
Molecule: RNA transcript, 257 nt
Organism: Pungitius pungitius (ninespine stickleback)
Lineage: Eukaryota; Metazoa; Chordata; Actinopteri; Perciformes; Gasterosteidae
Exons: 3
Source: RefSeq, a predicted model, not a curated record